GACGAACGCUGGCGGCGUGCCUAACACAUGCAAGUCGAGCGGGGUUGAAGCGAGAGGUAACUCGAGCUUCUACCUAGCGGCGGACGGGUGAGUAACGCGUGGGCAACCUGCCUCAAGGUUUGGGAUAACAGCCCGAAAGGGCUGCUAAUACCGGAUAUGCCUAUGGCCUCGCAUGGGGCUAUGAGCAAAGGGGAAACCCGCCUUGAGAUGGGCCCGCGUCCCAUCAGCUAGUUGGUGAGGUAACAGCUCACCAAGGCGACGACGGGUAGCCGGCCUGAGAGGGUGACCGGCCACACUGGGACUGAGACACGGCCCAGACUCCUACGGGGGGCAGCAGUGGGGGAUCUUGCACAAUGGGCGAAAGCCUGAUGCAGCGACGCCGCGUGAGCGAAGAAGGCCUCGGGUUGUAAGUUCUAGUCUGGAGGGACGAACAAAAUAGACGGUACCUACCGGUACGGAAGGCCACGGCUAACUACGUACGCCACGCAGCCGCGGUAAACUCGUCUCGUA
Molecule: ribosomal RNA, 510 nt
Filed under: uncultured bacterium
Lineage: Bacteria
Description: bacterial SSU rRNA
Rfam family: Bacterial small subunit ribosomal RNA
Source: RNAcentral